UUUUUUUUUGGAGUGAUUUGUGAAGUUAUCAAAAGAAUUGUGUUGAAUGGAGAGAUGGAGUCUUGGCUGAUGUAUAACAAUGAAUUCGUAGAGGUAUGGGGAGGAUGUGACUGCCUAUGUUCAUAGGUGUAUGGCUUAAUGUUUAAUUGGGGUUGCUUUGAAGUGGUGGUAGUACGUGAGUGAUAAGGGGGAAGCAUGGUAUAAGGUGGUUGAUUUGACAAUUAAAAUCCC
RNAcentral lists this long non-coding RNA (231 nucleotides) under Salvia miltiorrhiza (redroot sage). Its description in RNAcentral is "long non-coding RNA (SMIL_LNC009709)". Lineage: Eukaryota; Viridiplantae; Streptophyta; Magnoliopsida; Lamiales; Lamiaceae. The record is from RNAcentral.